This 85-nucleotide non-coding RNA is filed under the name Nitratidesulfovibrio vulgaris str. Hildenborough. Its description in RNAcentral is "Desulfovibrio vulgaris str. Hildenborough sRNA-Xcc1". It matches the Rfam family "sRNA-Xcc1". The record is from Rfam by way of RNAcentral. Lineage: Bacteria; Pseudomonadati; Thermodesulfobacteriota; Desulfovibrionia; Desulfovibrionales; Desulfovibrionaceae.
UGCCGGGUGUGGGCGAAAUACAAUACCCGUAAGGGAAAAUAGCCCGCAGCUCCGAUGGCUGUUUUGAGCACCCGGCAAUUCCUCA